UGUGGAUGUGAAACGUGAACCGCCUCCUGAAAUUUUUUUUCCGUGCACUAUUAUGUGCAGUGUAAGUGGUUUAGACUUUACUAACGCGCCUCUUGCACCUUUUCUGUUCCGAUUUCGGCAUUUGAUGUCAAUCGUUUGUGACGAGAGGUAAUAAUGAGUUCUUUUAUUGUAUAUUCACCCAAUGCCCGUGGCCUCCACAGGGCCCGCACUUGGUGUCUGGACACCCGGUUUUCGCCAUUUUUAGGUUAAGGGUCGGAAAUAUAAAUUUGAACCGGAUUCACUAUUGCGUAUUGUAUUGUUUCUAGGCUCUCCGAAAACCACCCUCCGAGACGUUUCUUUAUUUUUUUUUCAGCUAUGGUGUCAUGUAUGGGUAUUUUCUUCUUGCUCUGGUGCCUUCCCCCUCUCGACGGAU
This is a long non-coding RNA of Topomyia yanbarensis, 412 nucleotides long. RefSeq lists it as uncharacterized. The record is from RefSeq and is a predicted model, not a curated record. The transcript is spliced from 4 exons. Lineage: Eukaryota; Metazoa; Arthropoda; Insecta; Diptera; Culicidae.